This 403-nucleotide ribosomal RNA is filed under the name uncultured bacterium. RNAcentral describes it as "partial 16S ribosomal RNA". It matches the Rfam family "Bacterial small subunit ribosomal RNA", at positions 28 to 526 of the family's 1533-position model. The record is from RNAcentral.
GACGAACGCUGGCGGCGUGCCUAAUACAUGCAAGUCGAACGCAGUGGGGACGGGUGAGUAACACGUGGGUAACCUCCCAUCAGAGGGGCUCACACUUGGAAACAGGUGCUAAACCGAUACUGAUGGAUGGACCCGGGGUGCAUUAGCUAGUUGGUGAGGUAACGGCUCACCAAGGCCACGAUGCAUAGCCGACCUGAGAGGGUGAUAGGCCAAACUGGGACUGCGACACGGCUCAGAUUCCUACGGGAGGCAGCAGGAGGGAAUCUUCGGCAAUGGACGGAAGUCUGACCGAGCAACGCCGCGUGAGUGAAGAAGGUUUUCGGAGCGUAAAUCUCUGUUGUUAGAGAAGCGGUAUCUAACCAGAAAGCCACGGCUAACUACGUGCCAGCCGCCGCGGUAAUUC